UCCCGACUUCGGAAGGGAUGUGUUUAUUAGAUAAAAAACCAAUGCCCUUCGGGGCUUUUUGGUGAUUCAUGAUAACUUUACGGAUCGCAUAGCCUUGCGCUGGCGACGGUUCAUUCAAAUUUCUGCCCUAUCAACUUUCGAUGGUAAGGUAUUGGCUUACCAUGGUUUCAACGGGUAACGGGGAAUUAGGGUUCGAUUCCGGAGAGGGAGCCUGAGAAACGGCUACCACAUCCAAGGAAGGCAGCAGGCGCGCAAAUUACCCAAUCCCGACACGGGGAGGUAGUGACAAUAAAUACUGAUACAGGGCUCUUUUGGGUCUUGUAAUUGGAAUGAGUACAAUUUAAACCUCUUAACGAGGAACAAUUGGAGGGCAAGUCUGGUGCCAGCAGCCGCGGUAAUUCCAGCUCCAAUAGCGUAUAUUAAAGUUGUUGCAGUUAAAAAGCUCGUAGUUGAAACUUGGGCCUGGCUGGCGGGUCCGCCUCACCGCGUGCACUCGUCCGGCCGGGCCUUCCUUCUGAAGAACCUCAUGCCCUUCACUGGGCGUGCUGGGGAAUCAGGACUUUUACUUUGAAAAAAUUAGAGUGUUCAAAGCAGGCCUUUGCUCGAAUACGUUAGCAUGGAAUAAUAAAAUAGGGCGUGCGUUUCUAUUUUGUUGGUUUCUAGAGACGCCGCAAUGAUUAACAGGAACAGUCGGGGGCAUCAGUAUUCAGUUGUCAGAGGUGAAAUUCUUGGAUUUACUGAAGACUAACUACUGCGAAAGCAUUUGCCAAGGAUGUUUUCAUUAAUCAGUGAACGAAAGUUAGGGGAUCGAAGACGAUCAGAUACCGUCGUAGUCUUAACCGUAAACUAUGCCGACUAGGGAUCGGGCGAUGUUCUUUUUCUGACUCGCUCGGCACCUUACGAGAAAUCAAAGU
Molecule: ribosomal RNA, 914 nt
Filed under: Alternaria doliconidium
Lineage: Eukaryota; Fungi; Ascomycota; Dothideomycetes; Pleosporales; Pleosporaceae
Description: SSU rRNA
Rfam family: Eukaryotic small subunit ribosomal RNA
Source: RNAcentral